Molecule: ribosomal RNA, 472 nt
Filed under: uncultured organism
Description: partial 16S ribosomal RNA
Rfam family: Bacterial small subunit ribosomal RNA
Source: RNAcentral
ACACUCCUGCGGGAGGCAGCAGUGGGGAAUUUUGGACAAUGGGCGAAAGCCUGAUCCAGCAAUGCCGCGUGAGUGAAGAAGGCCUUCGGGUUGUAAAGCUCUUUUGUCAGGGAAGAAACGGUGAGAGCUAAUAUCUCUUGCUAAUGACGGUACCUGAAGAAUAAGCACCGGCUAACUACGUGCCAGCAGCCGCGGUAAUACGUAGGGUGCAAGCGUUAAUCGGAAUUACUGGGCGUAAAGCGUGCGCAGGCGGUUUUGUAAGUCUGAUGUGAAAUCCCCGGGCUCAACCUGGGAAUUGCAUUGGAGACUGCAAGGCUAGAAUCUGGCAGAGGGGGGUAGAAUUCCACGUGUAGCAGUGAAAUGCGUAGAUAUGUGGAGGAACACCGAUGGCGAAGGCAGCCCCCUGGGUCAAGAUUGACGCUCAUGCACGAAAGCGUGGGGAGCAAACAGGAUUAGAAACCCGGGUAGUCCC